AUUGAACGCUGGCGGCAUGCCUUACACAUGCAAGUCGAACGGUAACAGGUUAAGCUGACGAGUGGCGAACGGGUGAGUAAUAUAUCGGAACGUGCCCAGUCGUGGGGGAUAACGUAGCGAAAGCUACGCUAAUACCGCAUACGAUCUACGGAUGAAAGCGGGGGAUCGCAAGACCUCGCGCGAUUGGAGCGGCCGAUAUCAGAUUAGGUUGUUGGUGAGGUAAAAGCUCACCAAGCCUGCGAUCUGUAGCUGGUCUGAGAGGACGACCAGCCCCACUGGAACUGCGACACGGUCCAGACUCCUACGGGAGGCAGCAGUGGGGAAUUUUGGACAAGGGGCGCAAGCCUGAUCCAGCCAUUCCGCGUGAGUGAAGAAGGCCUUCGGGUUGUAAAGCCCUUUCGGUAGGGAAGAAAUCUCUUGCUCUAACACGGCAGGAGUUUGACUUAACCUACAUAAGAAGCACCGGCUAACUCUGUGCCAGCCGCCGCGGUAA
RNAcentral lists this ribosomal RNA (493 nucleotides) under uncultured bacterium. RNAcentral's name for it is "partial 16S ribosomal RNA". It matches the Rfam family "Bacterial small subunit ribosomal RNA", at positions 30 to 523 of the family's 1533-position model. The record is from RNAcentral.